GUGCAUGGCGUAACUAAUUGUUUUUAAUACAUCCAGAUUUUUUAAUAUGUGCAUGGCGUAAGUAAUUAGACAAAAUUGUUGAUGCAACAGAAUCAGAAUAAGGCAUGAUUUUUUAAUACAUCCAGAUUCAGACAUAGAGUAAAAGAGGUAGCAAAAGUAAAGUACAGAGGAUCAGAAUCUAAAGCUCUUCUGAGAGGAGUGGAAUUGUUGAGGAAUAUGAAACCAAAUCGCUUAUUACAUCUUUUAAUAGACCAAAAGCUGUAAUAAAGGAAAAAUGAAACAGUUAAAGAGAAUAACAUUGAUUUCCCAUCUAUAAUAAAUUUAGAAAUCCAAGUAAAACGAAAAGGGUUGACCACACAUACCCACAAGGGAUUUUCCACGUUCAAACAUAAUCAAUCACAAGCAGGCAGAAGCAAUCUGCUUCAAAUUAACUGAUUUUUGCUUCAAAUUCUUUAUAGAGCGAUGAAACUGAACCCCAAAGCACAAAAAACAUAUAAAUUAAGAGAAAAAGAACUAAAAAUCAUGAUGUUAAUUUGGGAACUGGUCAGACUGCAUUUACCCAUCUUUCGUCUUCCUCCAUCUCUACCUACUUCUUCUUUCAAUCAUGAUUUCAGAUAAGGAAAAGAAAACCCUAGACAACAUGUAAUCAUAUUGGAAAAAAUUCUUCAUAUUCGGGCCUCAACUGCUCCAUAUUUC
Molecule: long non-coding RNA, 696 nt
Filed under: Lactuca sativa (garden lettuce)
Lineage: Eukaryota; Viridiplantae; Streptophyta; Magnoliopsida; Asterales; Asteraceae
Description: long non-coding RNA (LSAT_LNC003275)
Source: RNAcentral